RNAcentral lists this ribosomal RNA (497 nucleotides) under uncultured bacterium. RNAcentral's name for it is "partial 16S ribosomal RNA". It matches the Rfam family "Bacterial small subunit ribosomal RNA", at positions 28 to 507 of the family's 1533-position model. The record is from RNAcentral.
GAUGAACGCUGGCGGCGUGCCUAAUACAUGCAAGUCGAGCGAACAGACGAGGAGCUUGCUCCUCUGACGUUAGCGGCGGACGGGUGAGUAACACGUGGAUAACCUACCUAUAAGACUGGGAUAACUUCGGGAAACCGGAGCUAAUACCGGAUAAUAUAUUGAACCGCAUGGUUCAAUAGUGAAAGACGGUUUUGCUGUCACUUAUAGAUGGAUCCGCGCCGCAUUAGCUAGUUGGUAAGGUAACGGCUUACCAAGGCAACGAUGCGUAGCCGACCUGAGAGGGUGAUCAGCCACACUGGAACUGAGACACGGUCCAGACUCCUACGGGAGGCAGCAGUAGGGAAUCUUCCGCAAUGGGCGAAAGCCUGACGGAGCAACGCCGCGUGAGUGAUGAAGGUCUUCAGAUCGUAAAACUCUGUUAUUAGGGAAGAACAAAUGUGUAAGUAACUAUGCACGUCUUGACGGUACCUAAUCAGAAAGCCACGGCUAACUACGUG